Astatotilapia calliptera (eastern happy) is the source of this 615-nucleotide long non-coding RNA. NCBI's taxonomy places the organism in Eukaryota, Metazoa, Chordata, Actinopteri, Cichliformes, Cichlidae. The record is from Ensembl.
GGAUGAGAGACGAAAGACGACGGAGCUGUCAAACACCAACAAUCGACUGAAAUAUUAUCCCGGGCGGUACAAAAACACGGUCAUUUGGUCAUUUGUGGAUACAAGGACAACAUAAGCAGUCUCUGAAUUGAUUGUGACACUUGAGCCUUUGGGAAUUUGGACUUUUCAAUCGUCGCGACGAGAAACUUCUUGUUUGUGUGUGUUUGCAGGAUCCAGGGGCUAAUGUCUGUUAGCUCUCUGCUCAGCUCCAGUUUUGUUGACAAACUAGCCCGUCCGCUAGUCACGAAGCUAGCCUCGGUCCCAACCCUGCUGUUUUGGCGUUAAUUGGACGUUUUCUUCAAAUGGCACCUGGUAAAAGACACGAAAACGAGUUUGCACUGUUACUGCAAACACCUCUAUGAAAUAAAAACAGUGCCUGUCCCCUCGGUUUGUUCCAUUAUUUCAAAACUCUGAAGAAUGAGAGGAAGUGACUAUGAAUGAUGUGCGUUUCAUUUUUACCUAAUGAGUAGGUGUAUGUUCUAUUCAGCACACAUAAGAUGCUCAGUCGUCAGGUCAAUUUUUCACUUACUGUUGAGACAUAGGAUCUGAAAUAUGUCUUCAGUGGAAAUGUACAGU